UUCAAACUGCAAACAUACUUGGACGUCACUUCUCUGAUUGGUCAAUUUGUACUUAAUUUGCAUGAGUAGGUGAGGCCAUAAUACUUCAAUACUGAGCGUAUUUUACCCUAAUGGCUGAGGUCCGAUGGUACAGCUCAAAAGAAAAGCUUUUAAAUGGAUUGCAUGUGUAUCUGGAUUUGGAUCUGCAUCGGAGUAAAGUUAAAGGUUUAUAUAUCUUCCCUGAAAAGAAACAAGACCAACCACGAGAAAUCCCACCUGUCCCAGCCCCGAGGAUGUCACUUCCUGUGAACCACCUAUAAAAACCCCUCAUCCUCCAUACUUAAACAGUUCUGUUUUGGACUCUAACCUGUACACAUUGUACACAAUGUCUUUUGCAGCCAGGGAAACUGUAUGGGCAGCUGUCCCAAACCUUUGUUGUGUGUCCAGCUAUUUAUUUCAUAAUGGAAAAUUCUGGUUUGAAAGUGGCCCAUCUGUAAGAGUGUCGAAAUGUUAACAGGAUUCACAAAUUCCCACCUAAUGGAAUUUAUUAAAAGUAAAUUAAUAGUGACAUUGUAAACUGCAUUGAUAGAAGAAAAUUAUUAUCCAGUGUAGUUAUGCUCUCCCAGUGAAAGGCUUUUCCGUACUUAAACUGACAUGUAAGACCAUGAAUUCCAUUGUGAAUUGUAAGAUGUAAUCAACCAAAUAGUAGUAUUUUUUAUCUGGAAAACAAUCUGGUGCCUAUCACAUACUUUCAGAUGAGUGCCAGAUACUAUUGUGUGUGCCUUGCAUCAUUUCCUGUUGACAAAAAUGCACUGUUAAUAGUUUAUGUUUACAGUUACACUCUUAAUUCUUUAAGUUUUUAUAUAGUGCUUUUCUCACUAAUAAAAGCACUUUACAUAGUGAGAGGGGAGGAGCCACUUCAACCACCAAUAAUAUGCAGCAUCCACCUGGAUGAUGCUACAGCAGCCAUUUUGCUCCAGUACGCUCACCACACAUUACCUGUUGAAGGGGUGAGAGAUAAGGUAAGAGGCAGGGGAAGAUUAGGGAGGCCAGAAUGACUAGUCUGUUAUGAACAAUAUAGCUAGGACAUCAGGAUACACCCUACUCUUUACGAUGGAUGCUCCAGGAUCUUUUAUUACCACAGAGUGUUGGGAUUUCAGUUUUAUGUCUCAUGCAAAGGACAGUGUCAUUUUUACAGCACACUGCAUUGGGGGCAUUGGGAUCCACAUUCAGACAACAUGGUAAGUGCCCCCUGCUGGCUUCGCCAAUACUUCUUUCAGGAGCAUCCCAAGCUUUUCAUGGUUGGUUUCCCCUCCAAUUACUGGCUGUGCUUAAACAUACUAUACAAACAUGAAUAUUUAUAACUUUAAAAAAAAAUACAUUCAAUCCCAGGUUGCUGGGUCUGCAAAGCAGCAGCACUAAUCACUGCACCAUUGUGUAGUAAAAGGUAAUUAAUUUGGUUAGCUAGCUACUUGCAGCCAGCUUUUUAUUCAUACACCAUAUGAGCACCAUUCAUACUCCAUAUUUUCAUUGCAUGUGAAUUGUUGCCCUGUCCAGUGCAGGCACACUAAUUUACGGGCACACUCAGUAUUCAACAGGAGCAGACUGUGAAGAUUACAAUGCACUCCAAGGGGUUAAAUAACAUUGGGCCAUUGUAAUUGUCAAUAUUUUGUAAUAUGAGCUGUGUUCAUGUUAAAAUAAGACAAAAUCUACAGCUUCAAAUUUGAAUAUCCUGGUCAAUUCCACUGGCACACUGGGUCAACCCCUGCUCUGUACAGAGUAAACUGUGAUAUUGAAUGGGCAUAUUGUAAAUGUCGUAGACUGCCGUGUGCUUUGAAAAGUGAUUUUAUUACCUUUUAGUACAUGGUAGUGCAGUGGUUAGCAUUGCUGCCUUGUGGAUACAACAACCUGGAUUUGAAUGUAUGCAAUUAUAAACAUGCCAAUAUUCAUUAUUGUAGAGUGUAACUGUGUGCAUAUUAUCAAACUGUUAAACAUUGAUUUAGAGGAGCAUGUGAUGGUACUGGUGCUUAUCAGAAAGUCUAUGGUAUGUACCACAUUUCUCUCCAGGAAGAAAAUAUUCCUCAGUGUCCCCUCAUGCGCUCCAUUAUUAAAUAUUAGCAAACCUGAUUAAUCUAAUUCAGCUUUAUGGGAGGAGCCUGAAUCUAUCUUGUCAGAAAUGAGUGCAAAGCAGAUAACACCACCAUGCAAGCUGCCAGUCCGUCAGAGGGCACACUUUAGUGUCAACAGAUACUCUACCCUGCAAGUCUUUCUGAUGUGGAUGGAAACUCUGGAUCUGAUCUUCUCAGAACGUGCAAGCUCCACUUGAACUGCGGCUAUGUGCGGGAUUCAAACAACACAGUGAAUCUGUGAGGUGGUGAUAUAAACCACUGCACCACUGUGUCACUGUAUAGUUAGAUAUUAAAAAAAAAAAAACUUUAUAUGUAUCAUUAUAUCCACUGUUGAUAUUUGUUUUUGAUUUAGAAUACAGUUGGAUGGAGGCAGAUUUUUGUUUUAUUAUUGGGUGAAGCUACAUCAUUAGCCAAGUGAUUAUGAAAUGUCUAAAUUAGUUAAUGAAGCUUUGGAGCAAUUGCUGCAAUUAUUAUGUUAUGAAACGUUCUAAUAAAGUAACAUUUUUGACAUA
Molecule: long non-coding RNA, 2620 nt
Organism: Polypterus senegalus (gray bichir)
Lineage: Eukaryota; Metazoa; Chordata; Cladistia; Polypteriformes; Polypteridae
Exons: 2
Source: RefSeq, a predicted model, not a curated record